This 2443-nucleotide long non-coding RNA is filed under the name Fragaria vesca (wild strawberry). RNAcentral's name for it is "long non-coding RNA (FVES_LNC001379)". The record is from RNAcentral. Lineage: Eukaryota; Viridiplantae; Streptophyta; Magnoliopsida; Rosales; Rosaceae.
CAGAUAUACUAAUAGCUAGCUAGUAAGAAAACGACCAAAACUUCCCUAAUCUACUCGAUCACAUGCAAUGUCGAUCAUCUCAAAGCUAGAUGGUAUGUGCCUGAUUCUCUUGAUUGAUUUUGAACCAAUUUGCCACACGUUCGACUUUACUUCAUGACUUGUGUUUGUAUUGACUAGUGAGCUCUUUGAAAGACCGAUGUCAAUUUACUAUCCUCUCAUGUAUGCACGACGAGUCUAUGAAUAUAUAAAAAGCCGAUGCGGUUGUCUUUUAGAUUAAUUUACACGUAAAUUUUACAGUGAAUUCGACAUUUGCAUUUGUAUUCUUGUCCCCAAUUUUCACCCGCGUGAAGGACUUACAGCUAGAAAUAAGAUUUUAGGGUAAAAAUAAUAUAUCUACAAGUCAAGUUGUACUCUUCACUAGCGCUGGGCACGGGACGGGAUAGGCCGGGAUUUGGUGAAUCCCGUCCCGUCCGGAAAAUAAAAAAACGGGACAGAACGGGACGGGAAUGCAUUUUUAGAAAUCUAUCUCGUACGUCCCGAUCCCGUUUGGAAUCGGGAUGGGACCAUGAUAGGAUCGGGAUCCCGAAAAAUUAACCCUAAAAAAAAAAACCUGAAAAUAAUCAAAAUAUCUAUCUCUGAAUUAUUAUCUUUCUCAUCUUUGUCAUCAAUUUCAGCAUAGAAGAAGUGGGAGAAGGAGGAGAAGUGGGAGAAGAUGAAGAUGGGGUCUUUGCGGAAGGAGCCGAAGAGGUUGUCGACGGAGCGGGAAUUGUAGUCGUCGCCAUAAAAGAAGUCGUCGUCGAGGGUUCCGAUACGGGUGAGGUGGAGGAAGGGGCGGUGGCGGCGAGAUCGAGACGGGAGAGGAGGAGGAGUCUGUGGGGGUGGGGGAAGAUCAGGAGGCGGCGAGGUUGAGGUGGGAGAGGAGGAGGAGUCUACGGGGGUGGGGGAAGAUCGGGAGGCGGCGAGGUCGAGGCGGGAGAGGAGGAGGAGUCUGCGGGGGUGGGGGAAGAUCUGGAGGCGACGAGGUCGAGACGGGAGAGGAGGGACUUGAGGGAGGGGUCGCGGUCGAUAAAGGCGGUGAGGAGGUGGGUGCCAUUUUCGAUGACGGUGCGGAAGGAGAAGAUGAGGAGGGAGAGGAAGAGGAAGGUGAGGAGGUUGGAGGUGGAGAAGGAGAAGGUUUUGUUUGUUAGGGGGUUUCUGUUUGUUUUUUGUUUUGUUUUGGGUGGAUCUGUGUGGGAGAGAGAGAGGAGAAGAGCAUGUGUGUGUUGUAGUAGGGGGAUGGUUUUGUAUAUAAAAUGAUUAAAAUCAAGUAUUUAAUGAAGUAUAAAGUGUAGAGAAAGAGAGAUAGCAAGAAAAUCAUCAUCUUAUUCAUUGAUAGGAGCCCUUUAUAUAGGGAAUUACACAAUACCAAUAUGGUAAGGAUAUGAAUACAUAGAUCUAGUCUAACUACAUAUCCUAUUGGCAUAAGUCCAAGGCACACAUAAAGAAUAUCUACAAAGAUACAGAAUAUCUUAGAACACUCCCCCUUGUGCCGCGCGCUGAUAUGCCGAUGGUGCUGAUCUGUUGCCUCGUCAAAAACCUCGUCAAGUCACAAAAACCCUGUGGGAGAAAAACUGAACCUUGAUCGUAGGAGAAAAAGAGUACAACGCACCCUUCACAUUUGAUAGUGACAUGUAUGUAUGUGCUAGACUCCCCCUGAAGUUCGCACCUCCCCCUGAUCUUUACAUCAAUCAUAGGGCUCUUCCUGAUUCUUACUAAUCACGAAAAUUUCAACAACUUAGCAUGUCAAUGCUCUUUAACAUGUCUGCAAAUGUGGCAUUAGGCAAUGAUUAACUAAAUCAUGCCGUAUUGUCCUCAAAUGAUCUUUUACACUUAGAUCUUGAGGAGAAGGCCGCUUGUGAACUCAAAACAUAAGUUCGUGCAGGAAAUUAGAUUUCCGCGCAGCAUGACCUUCAGUUACUAGAACAAUCGUAACUUCCUCUAGGAAAUACAUAUGAACGAACCGUAAAUGGUUUUGGAAACUAGACUCAUUUAGUUUUCCAACUGUAUAUUACACACGUUCUGGUUCGUCAGGAGCUAUUCACAAAGUCCCGUCGAGGUUGACUGUUUUGCCAAAAUCAGAUUCUCGGACAGAUUCGUCCUACUUUACGAAAACGGCCAUAACUCACUCAAUAUGAUAGGUAUGAACAAAUGGUUGGUGUCCCUGGAAAGUAGACACAUAGACCUUUCCAAUGGUACCAAUUUCAUCAUUUUCCAGUGAGUGAGAUUUCUUGUAGGUCCCGUGGAAGUUGACCUACGAAACUUGGCAGAUUCUGAUUUCGCUAUUGAUGUGUCUUUCUUAUGUAGGGAUAGAAUAAGCCUCAACCUUUCAUACCAUUAAGUAUUGAAAAAGGAGUUACUGCCAUUACAUUGGUGUUGCGUGGGCGCAUAGCUACACUUAGCUUUA